RNAcentral lists this ribosomal RNA (479 nucleotides) under uncultured bacterium. Its description in RNAcentral is "partial 16S ribosomal RNA". It matches the Rfam family "Bacterial small subunit ribosomal RNA", at positions 28 to 507 of the family's 1533-position model. The record is from RNAcentral.
GAUGAACGCUAGCGGGAGGCCUAACACAUACAAGCCGAGCGGUAGAGUCUCUUCGGAGACUUGAGAGCGGCGCACGGGUGCGGAACACGUGUGCAACCUGCCUUUAUCUGGGGGAUAGCCUUUCGAAAGGAAGAUUAAUACCCCAUAAUAUACUGGAUGGCAUCAUCUGGUAUUGAAAACUCCGGUGGAUAGAGAUGGGCACGCGCAAGAUUAGAUAGUUGGUGAGGUAACGGCUCACCAAGUCAGCGAUCUUUAGGGGGCCUGAGAGGGUGAUCCCCCACACUGGUACUGAGACACGGACCAGACUCCUACGGGAGGCAGCAGUGAGGAAUAUUGGACAAUGGGUGAGAGCCUGAUCCAGCCAUCCCGCGUGAAGGACGACGGCCCUAUGGGUUGUAAACUUCUUUUGUAUAGGGAUAAACCUAGAUACGUGUAUCUAGCUGAAGGUACUAUACGAAUAAGCACCGGCUAACUCCGUG